Molecule: ribosomal RNA, 1354 nt
Filed under: Clostridium sp.
Lineage: Bacteria; Bacillati; Bacillota; Clostridia; Eubacteriales; Clostridiaceae
Description: bacterial SSU rRNA
Rfam family: Bacterial small subunit ribosomal RNA
Source: RNAcentral
AGAGUUUGAUCAUGGCUCAGGACGAACGCUGGCGGCGUGCCUAACACAUGCAAGUCGAGCGAUGAAACCCCUUCGGGGGUGGAUUAGCGGCGGACGGGUGAGUAACACGUGGGUAACCUGCCUCAAAGUGGGGGAUAGCCUUCCGAAAGGAAGAUUAAUACCGCAUAAAGCCAAGUUUCACAUGGAGCUUGGAUGAAAGGAGUAAUCCGCUUUGGGAUGGACCCGCGGCGCAUUAGCUAGUUGGUGGGGUAACGGCCUACCAAGGCAGCGAUGCGUAGCCGACCUGAGAGGGUGAUCGGCCACAUUGGAACUGAGAUACGGUCCAGACUCCUACGGGAGGCAGCAGUGGGGAAUAUUGCACAAUGGGCGAAAGCCUGAUGCAGCAACGCCGCGUGAGUGAUGAGGGUCUUCGGAUUGUAAAGCUCUGUCUUUUGGGACGAUAAUGACGGUACCAAAGGAGGAAGCCACGGCUAACUACGUGCCAGCAGCCGCGGUAAUACGUAGGUGGCAAGCGUUGUCCGGAUUUACUGGGCGUAAAGGGUGCGUAGGCGGAUGUUUAAGUGAGAUGUGAAAUACCCGGGCUUAACUUGGGUACUGCAUUUCAAACUGGAUAUCUAGAGUGCAGGAGAGGAGAAUGGAAUUCCUAGUGUAGCGGUGAAAUGCGUAGAGAUUAGGAAGAACACCAGUGGCGAAGGCGAUUCUCUGGACUGUAACUGACGCUGAGGCACGAAAGCGUGGGUAGCAAACAGGAUUAGAUACCCUGGUAGUCCACGCCGUAAACGAUGAGUACUAGGUGUAGGAGGUAUCGACCCCUUCUGUGCCGCAGUAAACACAUUAAGUACUCCGCCUGGGAAGUACGAUCGCAAGAUUAAAACUCAAAGGAAUUGACGGGGGCCCGCACAAGCAGCGGAGCAUGUGGUUCAAUUCGAAGCAACGCGAAGAACCUUACCUGGACUUGACAUCCCCUGCAUAGCCUAGAGAUAGGCGAAGCCCUUCGGGGCAGGGAGACAGGUGGUGCAUGGUUGUCGUCAGCUCGUGUCGUGAGAUGUUAGGUUAAGUCCUGCAACGAGCGCAACCCAUAUUGUUAGUUGCUAACAUUCAGUUGAGCACUCUAACGAGACUGCCGCGGUUAACGCGGAGGAAGGUGGGGAUGACGUCAAAUCAUCAUGCCCCUUAUGUCCAGGGCAACACACGUGCUACAAUGGGUAGAACAAAGAGAUGCAAUACCGCAAGGUGGAGCCAAACUCAAAAACUGCUCUCAGUUCGGAUUGCAGGCUGAAACUCGCCUGCAUGAAGCUGGAGUUGCUAGUAAUCGCGAAUCAGCAUGUCGCGGUGAAUACGUUCCCGGGCCUUG